AUCGCAUUGCGGAGAGCCUGCGCAUGUGCUGUCCAAAUCAUUUUCUAGGCUAUGCAAAGAACAACAUAGCUAACUCAAAACAAGAUCAAACCCAAUUCACUGUAGCUAUUUGCCUUGGAGAGUAAUUGUAGAAUCAAUGAUGGAAGCAGAACAAACAGUGACAAGACUUGUACAAGCUCUAGCAUAUCAAUUACAUGAAAUUUGAGGAAUUGGAGAAAGAGUUCAAUGUUUG
RNAcentral lists this unclassified non-coding RNA (232 nucleotides) under Hevea brasiliensis (rubber tree). Lineage: Eukaryota; Viridiplantae; Streptophyta; Magnoliopsida; Malpighiales; Euphorbiaceae. The record is from RNAcentral.